Molecule: ribosomal RNA, 308 nt
Filed under: Mimachlamys varia
Lineage: Eukaryota; Metazoa; Mollusca; Bivalvia; Pectinida; Pectinidae
Description: eukaryotic LSU rRNA
Rfam family: Eukaryotic large subunit ribosomal RNA
Source: RNAcentral
CCAAGGAGUCUAACAUGUGCGCGAGUCAUGGGGUCGUACGAAACCUAAAGGCACAAUGAAAGUGAAGGCAGCCUCCGGUUUGCCUAGGUAGGAUCCUUCCCGUAACGGGGAGGCGCACUACCGGCCCGUCUCGUCCGCAUUGCCGGAGAGGCGGAGCAAGAGCGUACACGUUGGGACCCGAAAGAUGGUGAACUAUGCCUGAGUAGGACGAAGCCAGAGGAAACUCUGGUGGAGGUCCGUAGCGAUUCUGACGUGCAAAUCGAUCGUCAAACCUGGGUAUAGGGGCGAAAGACUAAUCGAACCAUCUA